CCUGCAGACCAUAGCCGAGCGUCGCCCACAAGACGGGCAGCGGCGAGGCGACCAGAAUUGACCAGAACACCGUUCGCAGCGUCAGCGAGAAGUGAUCCUGGGUGACUUUCCCGACGCGCGAGGCCGAGCGCUCAAGGAACCGGUUGAAGUGUUGACGUGAAUAGAGGCUAAACCCGACCAGCGCCAGCGCGCCGAAUAACGGCAGUAGCGUCUCUUUGCUGGUCAGCAUCAUGAUGCUGGCUUUACCUAACUGAUUAAACGUAUCUAAUGAGAUAAGCCGGCGUAAAUCCUGAACCAAAUCAACAGGCCAGGAGAGCGAUAGCGGGCUAACGU
This 333-nucleotide unclassified non-coding RNA is filed under the name uncultured fungus. RNAcentral describes it as "partial internal transcribed spacer 1". Lineage: Eukaryota; Fungi. The record is from RNAcentral.